This is a long non-coding RNA of Gossypium arboreum, 355 nucleotides long. RefSeq lists it as uncharacterized. The transcript has 2 exons. The record is from RefSeq and is a predicted model, not a curated record. Lineage: Eukaryota; Viridiplantae; Streptophyta; Magnoliopsida; Malvales; Malvaceae.
GGCAAUGUCCCGAAGACAAUCGAGCGAGUCGCUAUAUCCGGUUAAAUUCCGAAGAUUUUGGCUCGUCAGCUAUCGGACUCGGGAUUUUUGGAAGUCGAAGUCUCCCACACUAUCAAAGCCCCCUUUUUGGUACAAUUUUGGUUGAGCUUUGAAAUGGCAUGUAUAGGACUACCCUUUGUUGUUUUUCAAGUACUUUUUGUGAUGUAUGUGUAUGCGGCCAUGCGAAAAUGGCUCGUAGAAGUGGAGUAUGGCAUUAGACCAUUUGUGUUUAUGUAUAUAUGUAUGGUUUCAUGAUGUGACUAUGGACUGGAAUGGAAGUGUUGGGCAAAUGAUCAGCCAUUGGAAUGGCUAAAAA